RNAcentral lists this long non-coding RNA (392 nucleotides) under Salvia miltiorrhiza (redroot sage). RNAcentral's name for it is "long non-coding RNA (SMIL_LNC001247)". Lineage: Eukaryota; Viridiplantae; Streptophyta; Magnoliopsida; Lamiales; Lamiaceae. The record is from RNAcentral.
UAAUGUGUAUAUCCAUGAUCAUAUAUUCAUAUUCCUUUCCUGAAACCACCGCAGACAGCAAUUAUCAUUUCAUUAUUACCAUCAUUAAUUAAUUAUCAGCACCGUUUAGCAUUCUAUGCACCUAUGCUACAUCUGCAACUGCAACUACAACACUUUCUUUGUUGUUAUCUGGGUAAGUGUGGUUGAGGUGUGUGGAACACCCACCACUCACAUUUUUGUGUGUUUUUCUGAAUUCCCAAAAAUAAGAUUCACCCAGAUUUGCAAUUUAAUUUCUGAAGGGCUUAUGGAUGAAAAGAUUUCAUUUUUCUUUUAUUACUUGAGGUUUCUUGAAAUGCUGGCAUUCUGGGUGAUUCUGUAGCUUUCUUGGGAAGAGAUAUGUUGUUAAAGGCUUU